Molecule: long non-coding RNA, 294 nt
Filed under: Physcomitrium patens
Lineage: Eukaryota; Viridiplantae; Streptophyta; Bryopsida; Funariales; Funariaceae
Description: long non-coding RNA (PPAT_LNC013846)
Source: RNAcentral
AAAUUUUCAAUUAUUUUUCAAAAUCAAGGUUUGUAUUGGUCAUUUGGGAUUAAUGUAAUAUCCUUCGUUAGUUUGUACAAUUAGUGUCACAUCUAUGAUUCAAAAUUUUAUAAAAUUUAUUUGAGUGAGUGUGCUAAGUGUAUAUAAGAUUUUGUAUCAAUCUAACAAUGCAAUUGAGAGAUAGCUGGGUUUUGAUACAAGAAAAUAUUAGAAGUUGGCAAUUUGAGGUUGGAUAGGGUUUUUUUUAUAUUUGAAGAUCUAUUAGUCAAAUCAAGGUAAAAUUUGGUAUGGUAG